CACAGAAGGAGCAAGCAUUAAGCAUAUGGACUAGGCGGACAGCAUGUUAAGGCGUUAUGGUUUAUUAUUAGUAAUUAACUAAAAAAACGGAAGGUAAGGGAAUUUUCAGUGUACCAGUCAAAUGGGCAUAACUUGGAAGGAACGUCAGUAGGCGUAGGCACUUACCUUGUGUAAACUUAAGCCCUCACAUGGAAGCUGGAGUAGCAAACGGG
Molecule: ribosomal RNA, 212 nt
Filed under: uncultured bacterium
Lineage: Bacteria
Description: partial 16S ribosomal RNA
Rfam family: Bacterial small subunit ribosomal RNA
Source: RNAcentral